AGUGAACGCUGGCGGUAGGCCUAACACAUGCAAGUCGAACGGCUGCACAGGAGAGCUUGCUCUCUGGGUGGCGAGUGGCGGACGGGUGAGGAAUACAUCGGAAUCUACUCUGUCGUGGGGGAUAACGUAGGGAAACUUACGCUAAUACCGCAUACGACCUACGGGUGAAAGCAGGGGACCUUCGGGCCUUGCGCGAUUGAAUGAGCCGAUGUCGGAUUAGCUAGUUGGCGGGGUAAAGGCCCACCAAGGCGACGAUCCGUAGCUGGUCUGAGAGGAUGAUCAGCCACACUGGAACUGAGACACGGUCCAGACUCCUACGGGAGGCAGCAGUGGGGAAUAUUGGACAAUGGGCGCUAGCCUGAUCCAGCCAUACCGCGUGGGUGAAGAAGGCCUUCGGGUUGUAAAGCCCUUUUGUUGGGAAAGAAAUCCAGCUGGCUAAUACCCGGUUGGGAUGACGGUACCCAAAGAAUAAGCACCGGCUAACUUCGUGCCAGCCGCCGCAGUAA
Molecule: ribosomal RNA, 506 nt
Filed under: uncultured bacterium
Lineage: Bacteria
Description: partial 16S ribosomal RNA
Rfam family: Bacterial small subunit ribosomal RNA
Source: RNAcentral